GAUCAUGGCUCAGGAUGAACGCUAGCUACAGGCUUAACACAUGCAAGUCGAGGGGCAGCAUGGUCUUAGCUUGCUAAGGCUGAUGGCGACCGGCGCACGGGUGAGUAACACGUAUCCAACCUGCCGUCUACUCUUGGCCAGCCUUCUGAAAGGAAGAUUAAUCCAGGAUGGGAUCAUGAGUUCACAUGUCCGCAUGAUUAAAGGUAAGUUUUACGUUCGUACGA
Molecule: ribosomal RNA, 224 nt
Filed under: uncultured bacterium
Lineage: Bacteria
Description: partial 16S ribosomal RNA
Rfam family: Bacterial small subunit ribosomal RNA
Source: RNAcentral